RNAcentral lists this ribosomal RNA (621 nucleotides) under uncultured bacterium. Its description in RNAcentral is "bacterial SSU rRNA". It matches the Rfam family "Bacterial small subunit ribosomal RNA", at positions 145 to 780 of the family's 1533-position model. The record is from RNAcentral.
AACAGCCAGAAAUGGGCUGCUAAUACCCGCAUAAGACCGAAGCGCCGCAUGGCGCGGCGGCCCAAAGCCCCCGGCGGUGCAAGAUGGGCCCGCGUCUGAUUAGGUAGUUGGCGGGGUAACGGCCCACCAAGCCGACGAUCAGUAGCCGACCUGAGAGGGUGACCGGCCACAUUGGGACUGAGACACGGCCCAGACUCCUACGGGAGGCAGCAGUGGGGAAUAUUGCACAAUGGGGGAAACCCUGAUGCAGCGACGCCGCGUGAAGGAUGAAGUAUUUCGGUAUGUAAACUUCUAUCAGCAGGGAAGAAGAUGACGGUACCUGACUAAGAAGCCCCGGCUAACUACGUGCCAGCAGCCGCGGUAAUACGUAGGGGGCAAGCGUUAUCCGGAUUUACUGGGUGUAAAGGGAGCGUAGACGGCGAUGCAAGCCAGAUGUGAAAGCCCGGGGCUCAACCCCGGGACUGCAUUUGGAACUGCGUGGCUGGAGUGUCGGAGAGGCAGGCGGAAUUCCUAGUGUAGCGGUGAAAUGCGUAGAUAUUAGGAGGAACACCAGUGGCGAAGGCGGCCUGCUGGACGAUGACUGACGUUGAGGCUCGAAAGCGUGGGGAGCAAACAGGAUUA